This is an RNA transcript of Columba livia (rock pigeon), 1469 nucleotides long. RefSeq lists it as uncharacterized. The transcript has 4 exons. NCBI's taxonomy places the organism in Eukaryota, Metazoa, Chordata, Aves, Columbiformes, Columbidae. The record is from RefSeq and is a predicted model, not a curated record.
CAGUGCAUGGCUGAUAUUCCUAGGAACAGCUUCACACAGGGAAGAGCAGAAGUGCUAAGCAGUGUCUGAUAUCUGGUCCACCAGGGUCCUGUUUAGCAUUGCUAGCAUAGAACAGGGUGAAUGCCUUUUUGUAGUUAUGCUAGUUGUAUGCAAAUCACAUCACUAGAAAAACAGUUCUAUAAGAAAUACAGAACAGCCUGGAACCAAGUUGCUAUUGAACAAAGGGAAGUGCUGAACAUGCCCGGUUUCCAUGGUCACCUUGUUGUUUCACAGCAAUGCCUCCAAUGCCGCACCCUUUGAGAUACUCAUAGUUUACGGUAGAGGAUUCACAUAAACAAGAAUAGAAUCACAGAGAAGAAGAAAUUAUGGGGAAACAACACACCCAGUCUGCUCCUCCUGCCCCAACCACACCUGGUUUCACUUUGUCUGAAAGCAGCUGAUGACAAUGAUGACAAUGAUGACAAUGAUGACAGAUACCGACAGAUACCUACAGGCAAUCCCAGAGAUGGUAUAUAAGUGCCUCUGGCUCAGAGAUUAUCAGAUCGCAGGUCCUUGCUUCUCCUUCUCAUUGAUCCAAGUUCAUCUCCCUGCCCAAAGGAUGUCCUUCUCCAGCCAGCAGCUCAGCUCCCGCUGCUCUGCAUCCUGCGAGCCAGUCUGUGCACAGCCCAUCGCUGACGCCUGGAACCAGCCCUGCGUCACCUCCUGCGGGGACUCCCGUGCUGUGGUCUACCCACCACCUGUGACCAUCGUCUUCCCAGGCCCCAUUCUCAGCUCUUGUCCUCAGGAGAGCUUUGUGGGCACCUCAGCCCCACUGGGGCUGGGCUGCCCAAGGGGCCUGCAGGGCUCCCUUGUCUAUGGGGACUCCUUCUCCUCAUUCAGCCAGCGCUACGGGGGCCGUGGGCCAUGUUAAACAUGGCAGAAUGUGUGCACAGCAGAAGAAACAACAGGGCAACUGGAUGUGCAGCUGAACUGAGGAAUACAGCUCCGUGAAGCAGUAGGAACCUAUGGGUGCUAUUUGGCACCCAUGGGAACUGCUCUUCUGCUUGUCCUUCUACUGCUCCAUUUACUUUUAAUGUCAGUUUCCUCAAAAUGUGUCCUUUUCCUUCUUAGAAACCAAAUUAUAGACUAUGCAAAAUCUGUUUCUCACUGUCAGAGCACUAAAGCACAAGUACCACUAGAAACUGGUCUAUGUAUGUUUCGAAUUUUUGGGACCGUGUCUUUUUUUCUUUGGUAGUUUUUUGUUUUGAUACCCACAUGUUUAAUGCUAAAGAUCCGUAGUUGUCACCACACACUAUGAUUCGUCCAGUCCAUUUGAAACUUGAACCAAGAAGAAAGAACAAUGUGCUGAAAACAGGUUGCUGCAGAUUUUUAAGUUAAGCUUUUUUUCAAAUACUGAAGUCCAUCUUGCAUUUUUCCUUUGCUUAAAAUGUACAUUUUUACUCCCAAUAAACACUUACGAUUGCAUCCAA